AAGCCCCAAGCCCCUUCUCGCAUCCAUAUUCUGAAUAAUAUUUUUACUGGACGUUACCUACACAACAUAUAUAGAUGUCUAACCACUUCUCCAUUCAGUUACAAUCAAUCCCGAUCCUGUUUUUUUGGAUCUGAGAGACAGAGGCGGUCGCUUUGGCGGCUCGGUGGAGCAGUUGAGCGUCAGCAACGGCAGCAGCCUCGACUAGGAGCGGCGGCGGCGACGGAGAGGAUGGAGCGACGUCCUCCAUAUCACUCUCCCGGCGCCGACGCCCGCCUCACCGGAUGUGGCCACUUGCUUCUUUUCAACACGAAGAGAGACGGGAGAAGGAGAAUAAAGGGAUGCCAGUGAUGCGGCAACGUCUCCUCUGUGCACCUGGCAUCAACCCCAUCGAUUUGGUCAUCUCCUUUCUCCUGUUCCGCUUUGUUUUCUUUCUGUCUUUGCUCUGACACACCCUUUGAUUUUGUAGGAUUUUCAAUGUAGUCAGGCCCGCUGCUAGAGGCUGUUGUUUUCAUGAUGCAUUUAGACGGCCAGUGGUGCUCCCCUUCAACCAAGUGAUCGUCAGCGAGAGGAGCCGGCCGCGGUGGCCGGGGCGACGACUGGUGCUGCACCACUCCCCCAAGCUGAGGCCAACAAGAAGAGCACGCAGCGUAUCCCGGCUCCAAUUGGAGAGAUUCAAAAUGUAUCCUUGUCAGAGCAGAACAACACCUACAACAUGCACAUACUCUGGUGUUUUUCUGCAUCUGCUAUUUUUACCAACGAGAUCAUCGACUCCCCACCCUCCAGAUCGGGUCUAGGCGAGCCCAGGAACCACAGUUAAGGAAACAAAAUGUGACCUCCAUGCUUGUCUGAAUAAAAAAAAAAAGAACUGUUGGCUAAAAGUGGUUGUGGGAUGCUCUCUAGAUAUUCGUGGGUGAUGGAUAUAUGUCGAUGGGAGACCUAAGGAAUCUAUAGUGCUUUGUUGGCUCAACAUCGAUAUGUGGCACUAGCGUCGUCUUGCUUGUUGGAUUCGUGCAUGUAAUAGUAAUUUAGUUACUAAGAGACAUAUGUUGAGAACUAUCGGUGCAAUAGUAACAUGGUUACUAAGAGAAUUUUUUGGCA
Molecule: long non-coding RNA, 1098 nt
Filed under: Oryza sativa Indica Group (long-grained rice)
Lineage: Eukaryota; Viridiplantae; Streptophyta; Magnoliopsida; Poales; Poaceae
Description: lncRNA OsMH63_05G003970
Source: RNAcentral